RNAcentral lists this ribosomal RNA (140 nucleotides) under Lysinibacillus xylanilyticus. RNAcentral describes it as "partial 16S ribosomal RNA". It matches the Rfam family "Bacterial small subunit ribosomal RNA", at positions 1 to 135 of the family's 1533-position model. The record is from RNAcentral. Lineage: Bacteria; Bacillati; Bacillota; Bacilli; Caryophanales; Bacillaceae.
UUUAUGGAGAGUUUGAUCCUGGCUCAGGACGAACGCUGGCGGCGUGCCUAAUACAUGCAAGUCGAGCGAACAGAGAAGGAGCUUGCUCCUUUGACGUUAGCGGCGGACGGGUGAGUAACACGUGGGCAACCUACCUUAUA